This 1347-nucleotide ribosomal RNA is filed under the name metagenome. Its description in RNAcentral is "bacterial SSU rRNA". It matches the Rfam family "Bacterial small subunit ribosomal RNA", at positions 157 to 1498 of the family's 1533-position model. The record is from RNAcentral.
GUUACGCUAAUACCGCAUAUUCUGUGAGCAGGAAAGCAGGGGAUCGCAAGACCUUGCGCUGAUUGAGCGGCCGAUAUCAGAUUAGCUAGUUGGUGAGGUAAAGGCUCACCAAGGCGACGAUCUGUAGCGGGUCUGAGAGGAUGAUCCGCCACACUGGAACUGAGACACGGUCCAGACUCCUACGGGAGGCAGCAGUGGGGAAUUUUGGACAAUGGGGGCAACCCUGAUCCAGCCAUGCCGCGUGAGUGAAGAAGGCCUUCGGGUUGUAAAGCUCUUUCGGCCGGGAAGAAAUCGUAUGGGUUAAUACCCUGUGCGGAUGACGGUACCGGCAUAAGAAGCACCGGCUAACUACGUGCCAGCAGCCGCGGUAAUACGUAGGGUGCGAGCGUUAAUCGGAAUUACUGGGCGUAAAGCGUGCGCAGGCGGUUUUGUAAGACAGGCGUGAAAUCCCCGGGCUCAACCUGGGAACUGCGCUUGUGACUGCAAGGCUAGAGUAUGGCAGAGGGGGGUGGAAUUCCACGUGUAGCAGUGAAAUGCGUAGAGAUGUGGAGGAACACCAAUGGCGAAGGCAGCCCCCUGGGCCAAUACUGACGCUCAUGCACGAAAGCGUGGGUAGCAAACAGGAUUAGAUACCCUGGUAGUCCACGCCCUAAACGAUGUCAACUAGGUGUUGGGUGGGUAAAACCAUUUAGUACCGGAGCUAACGCGUGAAGUUGACCGCCUGGGGAGUACGGCCGCAAGGUUAAAACUCAAAGGAAUUGACGGGGACCCGCACAAGCGGUGGAUGAUGUGGAUUAAUUCGAUGCAACGCGAAAAACCUUACCUACCCUUGACAUGUCCAGGAGCCUGAAGAGAUUUGGGUGUGCCCGAAAGGGAACUGGAACACAGGUGCUGCAUGGCUGUCGUCAACUCGUGUCGUGAGAUGUUGGGUUAAGUCCCGCAACGAGCGCAACCCUUGUCGUUAAUUGCCAUCAUUUAGUUGGGCACUUUAACGAGACUGCCGGUGACAAACCGGAGGAAGGUGGGGAUGACGUCAAGUCCUCAUGGCCCUUAUGGGUAGGGCUUCACACGUCAUACAAUGGUCGGUACAAAGGGUUGCCAACCCGCGAAGGGGAGCCAAUCCCAGAAAGCCGAUCGUAGUCCGGAUUGCAGGCUGCAACUCGCCUGCAUGAAGUCGGAAUCGCUAGUAAUCGUGGAUCAGCAUGUCACGGUGAAUACGUUCCCGGGUCUUGUACACACCGCCCGUCACACCAUGGGAGCGGGUUCCGCCAGAAGUAGGUAGCCUAACCGCAAGGGGGGCGCUUACCACGGCGGGGUUCGUGACUGGGGUGAAGUCGUAACAAGGUA